GACGAACCGUGCGAACGUUGUUCGGAAUCACUGGGCUUAAGGGCGCGUAGGCGGGCUGUCAAGUCUGGGGUGAAAUGCCGCGGCUCAACCGUGGAACUGCCUUAGAUACUGACGGCCUCGAGGAAGGUAGGGGCAUGCGGAACUGUAGGUGGAGCGGUGAAAUGCGUUGAUAUCUACAGGAACUCCGGUGGCGAAAGCGGCGUGCUGGACCUUUUCUGACGCUGAGGCGCGAAAGCUAGGGGAGCAAACGGG
RNAcentral lists this ribosomal RNA (252 nucleotides) under uncultured bacterium. RNAcentral describes it as "partial 16S ribosomal RNA". It matches the Rfam family "Bacterial small subunit ribosomal RNA", at positions 524 to 776 of the family's 1533-position model. The record is from RNAcentral.